This 888-nucleotide unclassified non-coding RNA is filed under the name Pochonia chlamydosporia. RNAcentral describes it as "sequence contains 18S rRNA gene, ITS1, 5.8S rRNA gene, ITS2 and 28S rRNA gene". The stretch from base 1 to 502 matches the Rfam family "Eukaryotic small subunit ribosomal RNA", at positions 120 to 594 of the family's 1831-position model. Lineage: Eukaryota; Fungi; Ascomycota; Sordariomycetes; Hypocreales; Clavicipitaceae. The record is from RNAcentral.
AUUGGANAGAGUGUGNNCUCACGGGAAAGGCCCCCUGCGCCAGGGGGGGGAGGGCGUUUUUUGGGCCACCCGGGACUUGGCAGGGCACUCCUACUAAGUCAAAAACCGUGGCCUUCGGGCCCCACGGGGAAUAAGAAAAAGUAAAAAAAUCAAUGGGCCUUGCCCCGGCGAUGGUCCAUUCAAAUUUCUUCCCAACCAACUUUCGAUGUUAGGGAAGGGGCCAAACAUGUUUGCAACGGGAAACGGAGGGUAAGGGCUCGACCCCGGUAAAGGAGCCUGAGAAACGGCUACUACAUCCAAGGAAGGCGGCAGGGGGGCAAUUUACCCAACCCCAAUUCGGGGAGGUAGUGACAAUAAAUACUGAAACAGGGCUCUUUUGGGUCUUGGAAUUGGAAUGAGUACAAUUUAAAUCCCUUAACGAGGAACAAUUGGAGGGCAAAACUUGAACCACCUGGUUGAUCCUGCCAGUGGGGGGGAAGGUGGGUAAACAAGGUGGUUCCAGCCGGCGAGAGAAAAGGCCCUUACUGCGGGUGGCAGCCGGAACCAUUAAACCCAAAUUCGCCAGGAAGAACCCACAAUACCAACUAAAAGACUGUCUUUAUAUCCACCAUUUCCCGAGGGCAACCCUGUGAGUAUCUUCAGUUUGCCAGCCAUGCGUAAACGCCCCCAUCUGUCCGGUGUUGGCAUAAGUUAGAAAAAUACCAUACCGACUGCCUGCGCAUACAUAUUCUCCAGUAAUAGAGUCAAUAAUUUUCACCCCCUAUCGACAUCGGUGCGUGAGAAUUGUCCAAAAUACCUAGCAAUCAGACACUNAAUUUAGCGACCCCGUGACUUUAUGCACCUGCGAAAUAUACNAUUAUAACGGUAGUUUUGUGUUGCCGGGUAACA